UACGUAGGGACCGAGCGUUGUCCGGAAUCAUUGGGCGUAAAGAGCGUGUAGGCGGCUAUUUAAGUCCUGCGUGAAAUCCUGCGGCUCAACCGCAGACGGUCGUGGGAAACUGGAUGGCUAGAGUGCGGGAGAGGAGAGUGGAAUUCCCGGUGUAGCGGUGAAAUGCGCAGAUAUCGGGAGGAACACCUGUGGCGAAGGCGGCCCCCUGGGCCGGCCCUGACACUGAGACGCGAAGGCGUGGGGAGCGAACAGG
Molecule: ribosomal RNA, 253 nt
Filed under: uncultured bacterium
Lineage: Bacteria
Description: partial 16S ribosomal RNA
Rfam family: Bacterial small subunit ribosomal RNA
Source: RNAcentral